AGCGGUCUGGUCUAGCGGUCAGAACGCUGGCCUUGUAAGCCUGGGGUCCCGGGUUCAAUUCCCGGUGGUGCUC
RNAcentral lists this transfer RNA (73 nucleotides) under Zootermopsis nevadensis. It matches the Rfam family "tRNA". Rfam says of the family: Transfer RNA (tRNA) molecules are approximately 80 nucleotides in length. Lineage: Eukaryota; Metazoa; Arthropoda; Insecta; Blattodea; Termopsidae. The record is from Rfam by way of RNAcentral.